Molecule: microRNA precursor, 92 nt
Filed under: Triticum aestivum (bread wheat)
Lineage: Eukaryota; Viridiplantae; Streptophyta; Magnoliopsida; Poales; Poaceae
Description: miR9778 stem-loop (tae-MIR9778)
Source: miRBase by way of RNAcentral
GAAGCCCUGCAUCAUCUCGAACUCGUCGGUGCGAUAGCGUGCAGCGUGACAUGCUGUUCAUCACCAACGAGUUCCAGACGAUGCAGGCCUUC